This 245-nucleotide long non-coding RNA is filed under the name Olea europaea (common olive). Its description in RNAcentral is "long non-coding RNA (OEUR_LNC006093)". Lineage: Eukaryota; Viridiplantae; Streptophyta; Magnoliopsida; Lamiales; Oleaceae. The record is from RNAcentral.
GAUACAAAUGUUUUACAAAAGAGAACGAAUUGAAAUUCUUUCUUCCAAUUUCUUUUUUCGGUAUGCCGCUCCAAUAGCAAGGAGCGAGAGAAUCAAAUAAAAAAUUGGCUAUGUUUCCGUCCAAUGAAUUUGCAAAAUACAUAAAAAAUAGAGAUCAAGUGAAAGAUACGAGUGUUACGAGUGUCCCCAAAUACAGAAGAAAGGAAGAAAGUAUGCUCUUACAACUUUCAAAUAAAAUCUAUACA